This 492-nucleotide ribosomal RNA is filed under the name uncultured bacterium. RNAcentral describes it as "partial 16S ribosomal RNA". It matches the Rfam family "Bacterial small subunit ribosomal RNA", at positions 29 to 507 of the family's 1533-position model. The record is from RNAcentral.
AGUGAACGCUGGCGGUAGGCCUAACACAUGCAAGUCGAACGGCAGCACAGUAAGAGCUUGCUCUUACGGGUGGCGAGUGGCGGACGGGUGAGGAAUACAUCGGAAUCUACUUUUUCGUGGGGGAUAACGUAGGGAAACUUACGCUAAUACCGCAUACGACCUACGGGUAAAAUCAGGGGAUCUUCGGACCUUGCGCGAUUGAAUGAGCCGAUGUCGGAUUAGCUAGUUGGCGGGGUAAAGGCCCACCAAGGCGACGAUACGUAGCUGGUCUGAGAGGAUGAUCAGCCACACUGGAACUGAGACACGGUCCAGACUCCUACGGGAGGCAGCAGUGGGGAAUAUUGGACAAUGGGCGAAAGCCUGAUCCAGCCAUACCGCGUGGGUGAAGAAGGCCUUCGGGUUGUAAAGCCCUUUUGUUGGGAAAGAAAAGCAGCAGGUUAAUACCCCGCUGUUCUGACGGUACCCAAAGAAUAAGCACCGGCUAACUUCGUG